GAGGACAACCUAGUGAGUUCAGUUGCCUC
Molecule: non-coding RNA, 29 nt
Filed under: Rattus norvegicus (Norway rat)
Lineage: Eukaryota; Metazoa; Chordata; Mammalia; Rodentia; Muridae
Source: RNAcentral